RNAcentral lists this ribosomal RNA (549 nucleotides) under uncultured bacterium. Its description in RNAcentral is "partial 16S ribosomal RNA". It matches the Rfam family "Bacterial small subunit ribosomal RNA", at positions 353 to 895 of the family's 1533-position model. The record is from RNAcentral.
UGGGGGAAUUUUUGGACAAUGGGCGAAAGCCUGAUCCAGCAAUGCCGCGUGUGUGAAGAAGGCCUUCGGGUUGUAAAGCACUUUUGUCCGGAAAGAAAUCCUUGGCUCUAAUACAGUCGGGGGAUGACGGUACCGGAAGAAUAAGCACCGGCUAACUACGUGCCAGCAGCCGCGGUAAUACGUAGGGUGCAAGCGUUAAUCGGAAUUACUGGGCGUAAAGCGUGCGCAGGCGGUUUGCUAAGACCGAUGUGAAAUCCCCGGGCUCAACCUGGGAACUGCAUUGGUGACUGGCAGGCUAGAGUAUGGCAGAGGGGGGUAGAAUUCCACGUGUAGCAGUGAAAUGCGUAGAGAUGUGGAGGAAUACCGAUGGCGAAGGCAGCCCCCUGGGCCAAUACUGACGCUCAUGCACGAAAGCGUGGGGAGCAAACAGGAUUAGAUACCCUGGUAGUCCACGCCCUAAACGAUGUCAACUAGUUGUUGGGGAUUCAUUUCCUUAGUAACGUAGCUAACGCGUGAAGUUGACCGCCUGGGGAGUACGGUCGCAAGAUU